Molecule: long non-coding RNA, 687 nt
Organism: Salvelinus fontinalis (brook trout)
Lineage: Eukaryota; Metazoa; Chordata; Actinopteri; Salmoniformes; Salmonidae
Exons: 3
Source: RefSeq, a predicted model, not a curated record
CAGCUCCUCGUCCAGUGAAAGUGAAAGUAAACACAAAACAGUAUCAUGAAAACACCGUUGCAAGGUUGAAGCCGUUUGUUGACUGGCCCAGCAAAUUGAGUGUGAAAUCAAAGAUAAGGGUGGCGUCUGAACUCUGCUCCACACAGCAAGCAGAUUUGAUUUCUCUGACUCAACCCAUCGUUACCGGACAAAUCAGAUGGCCCCCGAAUGUGUUGGCAUUCGGUGAAAUGUUGGGGAGGUACUCAAAUCCAGACUCAUUGCGAAGAAGAAACGAACGUCCUUGGGCGUGGCGUUUGGCCGGAGCAAGGAGUUUGGGUAGCCAGGCAACAGGUAGCCUACCUCAUAUCACAACACUCACCUACAAGAGGUCAUCAAUCUCUCAAACCUAAAAGUGCCAUUUCAGUACCUCUAAACAGCAUUAACCAUAUCAUGGCUUGUAUAAUGCAUGUGUUAAUUAGCUUAUUUAUGACUGUGUAAGAAUGACUCAACAAGGUUCAACAUCCAGGCUCAGUAACAACAGGUGCUCCAGUCCUCAACAAAAACACCUGUCAGCUACAGUGCAUAUAAGCACGGUCAGCAACAACAGACAGAUGUUUACACAACGCUCCUAAGAGGGUCCUGCUCGUCUGCUGUGGUUGUCAACGCUGCUUGCCUGCAACCUGCCAGAUAGAAUGUGAAGGUUACUAU